Molecule: ribosomal RNA, 408 nt
Filed under: uncultured bacterium
Lineage: Bacteria
Description: bacterial SSU rRNA
Rfam family: Bacterial small subunit ribosomal RNA
Source: RNAcentral
AGCGAACGCUGGCGGCAGGCUUAACACAUGCAAGUCGAACGGGCGUAGCAAUACGUCAGUGGCAGACGGGUGAGUAACGCGUGGGAACGUACCUUUUGGUUCGGAACAACCCAGGGAAACUUGGGCUAAUACCGGAUAAGCCCUUACGGGGAAAGAUUUAUCGCCGAAAGAUCGGCCCGCGUCUGAUUAGCUAGUUGGUGUGGUAACGGCGCACCAAGGCGACGAUCAGUAGCUGGUCUGAGAGGAUGAUCAGCCACAUUGGGACUGAGACACGGCCCAAACUCCUACGGGAGGCAGCAGUGGGGAAUAUUGGACAAUGGGCGCAAGCCUGAUCCAGCCAUGCCGCGUGAGUGAUGAAGGCCCUAGGGUUGUAAAGCUCUUUUGUGCGGGAAGAUAAUGACGGUACCG